RNAcentral lists this transfer RNA (75 nucleotides) under Candidatus Liberibacter ctenarytainae. RNAcentral describes it as "tRNA-Gly". It matches the Rfam family "tRNA". From Rfam's summary of the family: Transfer RNA (tRNA) molecules are approximately 80 nucleotides in length. Their secondary structure includes four short double-helical elements and three loops (D, anti-codon, and T loops). Further hydrogen bonds mediate the characteristic L-shaped molecular structure. tRNAs have two regions of fundamental functional importance: the anti-codon, which is responsible for specific mRNA codon recognition, and the 3' end, to which the tRNAs corresponding amino acid is attached (by aminoacyl-tRNA synthetases). tRNAs cope with the degeneracy of the genetic code in two manners: having more than one tRNA (with a specific anti-codon) for a particular amino acid; and 'wobble' base-pairing, i.e. permitting non-standard base-pairing at the 3rd anti-codon position. Lineage: Bacteria; Pseudomonadati; Pseudomonadota; Alphaproteobacteria; Hyphomicrobiales; Rhizobiaceae. The record is from RNAcentral.
GCGGGUGUAGCUCAGAGGUAGAGCACAACCUUGCCAAGGUUGGGGUCGAGGGUUCGAUUCCCUUCGCCCGCUCCA